Molecule: ribosomal RNA, 497 nt
Filed under: uncultured bacterium
Lineage: Bacteria
Description: partial 16S ribosomal RNA
Rfam family: Bacterial small subunit ribosomal RNA
Source: RNAcentral
GAUGAACGCUGGCGGCGUGCCUAAUACAUGCAAGUCGAGCGAACGGACGAGAAGCUUGCUCCUCUCCUGUUAGCGCGGGACGGUUGGGUAACCCGUGGAUACCCUCCCUUUAAGCCUGGGAUAACUUCGGGAACCCGGGGCUAUUCCCGGUUACUCUUUUGCUCCGCAUGGUUCAAGCGUGAAAGACGCUCUUCCUUUCACUUAUAGAUGGAUCCGCGCUGCAUUAGCUAGUUGGUAAGGUAACGGCUUACCAAGGCAACGAUGCAUAGCCGACCUGAGAGGGUGAUCGGCCACACUGGAACUGAGACACGGUCCAGACUCCUACGGGAGGCAGCAGUAGGGAAUCUUCCGCAAUGGGCGAAAGCCUGACGGAGCAACGCCGCGUGAGUGAUGAAGGUCUUCGGAUCGUAAAACUCUGUUAUCAGGGAAGAACAUAUGCGGAAGUAACUGCGCACAUCUUGACGGUACCUGAUCAGAAAGCCACGGCUAACUACGUG